GACGAACGCUGGCGGCGUGCUUAACACAUGCAAGUCGAACGGAAAGGCCCUGCUUUUGUGGGGUGCUCGAGUGGCGAACGGGUGAGUAACACGUGAGUAACCUGCCCUUGACUUUGGGAUAACUUCAGGAAACUGGGGCUAAUACCGGAUAGGAGCUCCUGCGGCAUGGUGGGGGUUGGAAAGUUUCGGCGGUGGGGGAUGGACUCGCAGCUUAUCAGCUUGUUGGUGGGGUAGUGGCUUACCAAGGCUUUGACGGGUAGCCGGCCUGAGAGGGUGACCGGCCACAUUGGGACUGAGAUACGGCCCAGACUCCUACGGGAGGCAGCAGUGGGGAAUAUUGCACAAUGGGCGGAAGACUGAUGCAGCAACGCCGCGUGCGGGAUGACGGCCUUCGGGUUGUAAACCGCUUUCGCCUGUGACGAAGCGUGAGUGACGGUAAUGGGUAAAGAAGCACCGGCUAACUACGUG
RNAcentral lists this ribosomal RNA (468 nucleotides) under uncultured bacterium. RNAcentral's name for it is "partial 16S ribosomal RNA". It matches the Rfam family "Bacterial small subunit ribosomal RNA", at positions 28 to 507 of the family's 1533-position model. The record is from RNAcentral.